AUUCUCAAAAGCUUCACACAUUCUUGAUCAAGACAGUGUGAAGCAAAAUCAAUUUAUGGUGCCAACAAGAGCUUCAUCAAUGGAGGGCAACCACAAUUCUCAAAAGCUUCACACAUUUUUAAUCAAGAUAGUGUGAAGGAAAACCAAUUUAUGGUGCCAACAAGUGCUUCAUCAAUGGAGGGCAACCACAAUUCUCAAAAGCUUGACACAUUCUUGAUCAAGACAGUGUGAAGCAAAAUCAAUUUAUAGUGCCAACAAGAGCUUCAUCAAAAGAGUUCAACCAUAAUUCUCAAAAGCUUCACACACUCUUGAUCAAGACAAUAUGAAGCAAAACCAAUUUAUGGUGCCAACAAAAGCUUCAUCAAAUGAGUUUAACCACAAUUCUCAAAAGCUUCACACACUCUUGAUCAAGAUAGUGUGAAGCAAAACCAAUUUAUGGUGUCAACAAAAGUUUCAUCAAUGGAGGGCAACUACAAUUCUCAAACCUUCGAAGCAAAUUCAAGAAUGUUCGAAGCAAAUUCAAUUUAUAUGGUUCAUUUAAACCUUCGACUACUACAAGGUGUGGCUUGCAUUACAAUCUCUUGCUCAACAGUGUGGAAGCAAAAUUUGUAUAUGUUGUCUCUCCCACAUUUUCAAAUUUCUAGUUUCCCAAAAAAAAAAAAAAAGGGAAAUUCAACAAAGCUUCACCACAAGAGCUUCACCAAUGGAGGACAACUACAAAUUCUUAAAAGCUUCACACUAU
RNAcentral lists this long non-coding RNA (742 nucleotides) under Malus domestica (apple). Its description in RNAcentral is "long non-coding RNA (MDOM_LNC008791)". Lineage: Eukaryota; Viridiplantae; Streptophyta; Magnoliopsida; Rosales; Rosaceae. The record is from RNAcentral.